GCGGAAUGGAUUCUUUUCGUCUUGCGAGGCACCACUGUAAAUCAAAAUUUAUUUUUUUUAUUUUUAUUCUGCUGAGGUUCCCCAUCCCUUCGCCAGGGGUGGGUAUCUCUCCAUUGCCUGGGCUAUUUUGCACCCCACUCUGCCCUCUCAGAUGCGGAGAGCCCCCCCCCCCACCAUCAAGGACUGACAGCCUGACUUUUGUAUUUCAGCUGCUGGAGGACAGACAGCGGUACCUCCUGGGGGGUGAACAAAGAGUGCCAGGCAGCUGAUCUCAGGGAGCUCUGAACCCUGAAGUGCUCCAAGCAGGAGAUGGCCCAAGCCAUUCAGUAUCAUGAGGGCAAAGUUCAGCGGUGAUAUGCUCAUUGCCAUCCUUCACAGGACCCUGGAGGCUGUUCUUGGGGGCCCACAAAAGGAGGAGGACAGAGAGGAACUGAAGCGGCACUUCCGGCUCCUGCUGGGGAGUCUCCUGAUGGAAGUCCCCAAUUCUGGCACCCUCCUCCAGCUGCUCAGUGUGUCCUGAUGGCCCAUAUGUG
Podarcis muralis (Common wall lizard) is the source of this 533-nucleotide non-coding RNA. NCBI's taxonomy places the organism in Eukaryota, Metazoa, Chordata, Lepidosauria, Squamata, Lacertidae. The record is from RefSeq and is a predicted model, not a curated record.